RNAcentral lists this ribosomal RNA (447 nucleotides) under uncultured bacterium. RNAcentral's name for it is "bacterial SSU rRNA". It matches the Rfam family "Bacterial small subunit ribosomal RNA", at positions 355 to 825 of the family's 1533-position model. The record is from RNAcentral.
UGGGGAAUAUUGGGCAAUGGGCGCAAGCCUGACCCAGCCAUGCCGCGUGAGUGACGACGGCCUUAGGGUUGUAAAGCUCUUUUGGCGGGGACGAUAAUGACGGUACCCGCAGAAUAAGCCCCGGCUAACUUCGUGCCAGCAGCCGCGGUAAUACGAAGGGGGCUAGCGUUGUUCGGAAUCACUGGGCGUAAAGCGCACGUAGGCGGACUUUCAAGUCAGGGGUGAAAUCCCGGGGCUCAACCUCGGAACUGCCUUUGAUACUGUUGGUCUCGAGUCCGAUAGAGGUGAGUGGAAUUCCUAGUGUAGAGGUGAAAUUCGUAGAUAUUAGGAAGAACACCAGUGGCGAAGGCGGCUCACUGGACCAAUUCUGACGCUGAGGAGCGAAAGCCAGGGGAGCAAACGGGAUUAGAUACCCCCGUAGUCCCUGAGCGGGCUGGCAAGGCGCAU